RNAcentral lists this transfer RNA (120 nucleotides) under Planctomycetota bacterium. Its description in RNAcentral is "Planctomycetes bacterium (bioreactor metagenome) tRNA-Ser". Lineage: Bacteria; Pseudomonadati; Planctomycetota. The record is from RNAcentral.
GGACGACUUUUUCGAACAGUAAGCCACCCCGUACCCGACGCCAGACGGCGUACACACUUUACGGUCUCGAAAACCGUUAAUCGGGUAACCGAUUCGUGGGUUCGAAUCCCACCUCCUCCA